Pongo pygmaeus (Bornean orangutan) is the source of this 3339-nucleotide long non-coding RNA. RefSeq lists it as uncharacterized. Lineage: Eukaryota; Metazoa; Chordata; Mammalia; Primates; Hominidae. The record is from RefSeq and is a predicted model, not a curated record. The transcript is spliced from 4 exons.
GUGUCACCCAGGCUGGAGUGCGGUGGGGCAAUCAUAGCUCACUGCUGGCUUGAAUUCCCAGGCUCAAGUGAUCCUCCCACCUCAGCCUCCUGAGCUGGGACUACAGGCACACAGCACCACCCCCGGCUACAAAAUUUUCUUUAUAAAGCAUGAAACCAUUAUGUCACUUCCCUACUUAAAACUGUGUAAAAUGAUUUCAGUGGCCCUCACUGCUUGCAUGAUAAAAUCUAAUGUCCAGGUACUGGCCUGCAUGGCUUCUUAAGAACUGGCUCAUGCCUCUCUUUGGAGGGCCAGUCUCCCUCAAGUCCCUCACCUGUGGCUUCAGUCACACCAGACCUCUUGGGGCUUCUGGAACCUGUGGCCUGCUUUCAGUUGUGGAUAUUUGCUGAAUGGAUUCUUCCAUUCAUCCAAACCGUCCAUUCAUUCUUUCAACACACACACACACACACACACACACGUAUAUACACACAUACACACAUUAUACACACAUACACACACACGUAUAUAUUAUUGGGAAGCCCCCUGAGCCAGAAUAGGUUCAGAGACUCCCUCAACAAAUAUUUUUUGAGCACUUGCUAUAUGCAAGACACUUCUAGGUGCUAGAAAUAUGCAGUGAACAAGACACAAAAUCUUUAUUUCCAUGGAGCUUAUAUUCUUAUAAGCUUACACAAACUUAUAUUCUAGUCUUAUAUUGUGUCUUCUAGGGAAGACCAGCAAAAAGAAAUAAAUAAACAGGAAAUGCAUCAAAAAGACAGAAACAGGAAAUGUAUCAGGUGGUGUGACAGUAUGAUGGUAUGAUGUGCUAGGCAGAGAAUUAAAGAAGGAUCACAUGACAUAGUGCGUGGGAAGACCCUGUCUACUGAAUGGCCAGGGAGGGCCUCUCUCAGGGGCACCCUUGAGGCUGAGAUCUGAAUGAACUACUCUCGUGAAGAUCAGGGUAAAGAGCAUUCCAGGCAGAGGGAACAGAUAAUACAAAGGACUUAGGGUGAGAACGAACUGACUUUUAGAAUAAACACCCUGGUUAGCUAAAGCCAGGGCAUUAAAAGGACACAAUGAAGAAAAUGCCUCUAAGGGAGAUAGAACUGAAGAGAGAUCAUAGCUGGUUGUGGAGCCAAAGGUAAAUUAUUCUUUAAGAUGUACUGGAUACUUAUUGAUAGCUGCUAAUAGCAAAAUAAAAAAGGUUCUGUUGUUCACAACUGAUGCACAAAGGUACAUAGGAAUGUAGGGAGCAGACACCCCCUCCACAUUUCACUUGGAGCCAUGCGAUCUGUGUCAAGAUGGCCCAUGUGAAGAGCCACCAGUUAUAGUUCAUGUGGGUUUCCAUUAUUCUUUGGGCCUUCACUUUGCCUAAGGCACACAGUUAAUAUAACCACAAGAAUGUGAACACUUUUCUUUGUUCUGAAAUAUGCUUUUAACCUUUACAGCGGGAAAGGCCCUUAAUUUAUCUAUUCCUUAUUAUUUUCCAGCCUCAUGUUUUCUAUUUCCUUUCUGUGCUCCCUGAAAAACAAGAUGCCAUGUCUAAAAUCCUGUGUGCCUUUGUGCAGGGCAAAGCCAUGUCCUCGUGCACAGUCAUGGGGCAUGGCCGAGGGUUAUGUAACAAGAGCUGUGCCUAGUGCAGUUGGCUCCUGCAGGAGACCAUGGUGUGGCAACUACAAAGCUCAUCGCAGAUUACACAUAGGAAUCUGGACUUCUGGUUUCUCUUCAAAGACUUGGAUCCACACUUCUGAAAAACAGAUGGUUGGCGUUCACAGUGGCUUCUGCUUCUAUACAGAUCUCUGCUUCUAGCUGUUCUUCCACUCUAUCAACUAAUAUUUCUUUUGCAAAGCUAGGAGGCUCGAUCAAGUCUUCAGCAGACAUCAUGUGACCUUGAGGAUGGAUGUCACAUGCUGGAGGAAACAGAAGGCCGAAACCCUGAUGACUUCACAGAGCUGCCAAAGCAGUUCCUGACUGUUUACUCCGGGUCUUUAACAAAGUGAUGAAAAGAAAUCCUUGCAGUAUGAAAACAACUUUUCUAUUCCAUGGAGCCAAACCUCAUUAUAACAGAUAACGUGACCCUCAGCGAUAUCCAAGUAUUUCCCUGUUCUCAUCUAUACUAUGGCAAAGGGGCAAAUACCUCUCAGUAAAGAAAGACAUAACAACUUGUAUCUUGGGCAAGGCAUUUCUUCUGGUAGAACUCUGUACACAGAAUAAAACAGAUCUGUUUGUGCUUAUCUUUCUCCUUAGAAUUAUUGAAUUUGAAGUCUUUCACAGGGUGGGGGUGGAGUGAAGCUGGGAUUUCAUAAGCAUAUAGUAGUGUCUCUUAGCUUCCAUUUAAAUAUGGGGGUAGAGAUGUGGAGGGCCCAGAAGUGUCAGAGAGGAGAGACAGGCCGCUCUGAUUGCCUUUGUAAAAUGCACAUUUGAGCUUGUGCAAAGCCCUGGGCCUGAGCUCAGAAAAAAGCAAGGACAGGAUUGAGCCUCCUGGUUCAGUUCCCCUGCACACCCUGGGCGGGGAGGGGUUUUUAGAGUCAUGGAGCCCCUAUUUUAUUUUAUUUUUUUUGACCAGGUCUCAUUUGGUCACCCAGCCGGAGUGCAGAGGUACGUACACAGCUCACUGCAGCCUCAACUUCGUGGGCUCAAGCGAUCUUCCUGCCUCAGCCCCCGGAGUUGCUGGAGCUACAGCCCCAUGCCACCACACCUGGCUAACUUUUGUACUUUUUGUAGAGACAGGGUUUUGUCAUAUUGCCCAGGCUGCUCUCGAACUCCUGAGCUUGCGUUUAAGACCAGGUUGCUCAAGUGAUCCACCCACCUCGGCCUCCCAGGGUGCUAGGAUUACAGGCAUGAUCCACCCCUCCUGGUUCAUCUUUCUUAAGCUUGGAGUCAUCUUUUUAAAACAGCCACAAUGAGGUAUAAUUGAUACACAAUACACUGCUUAUAUUUAAAGUGGAUAAUUUGAUAAGUUUUGCCAUAUGUUUACAUCUGUGCAACUGUCACCACAAUCAACAGGGGGAUCAUAUCCAUCACCCGCAAAAGUUUUCUCAGGCCUCUUCCCCCUGAGAAAACCCUCCCCCUGGCAGCCACUGAACUGCUUUCUGUCCCUGCAGAUUCGUUUGCAUUUUCUUAAGCUUUAUAUAAAUGGAAUCAUAGAGUACGUGCUCUUUUGUCUGUCUUCUUUCACUCAGCAUAAUUAUUUUUUAGAUUCAUGUGUCUUGUGUGUGUCAAUUCUUUUCUUUUUAUUGAUGAAUAACAUUCCAUUGUAUGGAUAUACCACAUCUGUACAGUUUGUUUAAUCCAUUCACCUGUUGAUGGACAUUUGGAUCACUUCCAAUAUUUGGCUAUUAAAAUAAAGCUACUCUGAACAUU